This 271-nucleotide ribosomal RNA is filed under the name uncultured Bacteroidota bacterium. RNAcentral's name for it is "uncultured Bacteroidetes bacterium partial 16S ribosomal RNA". It matches the Rfam family "Bacterial small subunit ribosomal RNA", at positions 119 to 390 of the family's 1533-position model. Lineage: Bacteria; Pseudomonadati; Bacteroidota. The record is from RNAcentral.
ACGCAACCUUCCCAAAACUGGUGAAUAGCCCUCCGAAAGGAGGAUUAAUACACCGUAACAUAUAGAGAUGGCAUCAUCUUUAUAUUAUAGCUCCGGCGGUUUUGGAUGGGCGUGCGCCUGAUUAGGUAGUUGGCGGGGUAACGGCCCACCAAGCCUACGAUCAGUAACUGGUGUGAGAGCACGACCAGUCACACGGGCACUGAGACACGGGCCCGACUCCUACGGGAGGCAGCAGUAAGGAAUAUUGGUCAAUGGACGCAAGUCUGAACCA